UUUGAUCAUGGCUCAUAAUCCCUCUGGCGGCGUGCCUCAGACUUGCAAUUCGAACGCGAAAGUUCCCUUCGGGGAAGCGAGUAGAGUGGCGCACGGGUGAGUAACACGUGGGUAAUCUUCCUUUGGAUGGGGAAUAACAACCGGAAACGGUUGCUAAUACCGCAUAAUGCAGCGGCACCUAAUGGUGACAGUUGUUAAGCGGGGGAUCGCAAGACCUCGCUUCUAAGAGGAGCCCGCGGCGGAUUAGCUAGUUGGUAAGGUAACGGCUUACCAAGGCGAUGAUCCGUAGCCGGCCUGAGAGGGCGGUCGGCCACACUGACACUGACUUACGGGUCAGACUCCUACGGGAGGCAGCAGUCGGGAAUUUUGGGCAAUGGGCGAAAGCCUGACCCAUCAACGCCGCGUGAAGGAUGAAAUCCUUCGGGAUGUAAACUUCGCAAGAACGGGAAGAAUAAGCCGGUGUCAACACCACCGGUGAUGAACGGUACUGUUUGUAAGCUCCGGCUAACUCCGUGCCAACACCCGCUAUAAUACUGGGGGAGCAAGCGUUUGUUCGGAUUAACUGGGCGUAAUGGGCGCGUAGGCGGCCUCUGCAAGUCUACUGUGAAAU
RNAcentral lists this ribosomal RNA (610 nucleotides) under uncultured Acidobacteriota bacterium. Its description in RNAcentral is "bacterial SSU rRNA". It matches the Rfam family "Bacterial small subunit ribosomal RNA", at positions 12 to 600 of the family's 1533-position model. The record is from RNAcentral. Lineage: Bacteria; Pseudomonadati; Acidobacteriota.